UACGUAGGGUGCAAGCGUUAAUCGGAAUUACUGGGCGUAAAGCGUGCGCAGGCGGCUUUGCAAGACAGAUGUGAAAUCCCCGGGCUUAACCUGGGAACUGCAUUUGUGACUGCAAGGCUUGAAUUCGGGAGAGGGAUGCGGAAUUCCAGGUGUAGCGGUGAAAUGCGUAGAUAUCUGGAGGAACACCGGUGGCGAAGGCGGCAUCCUGGACCGGCAUUGACGCUGAGGCGCGAAAGCCAGGGGAGCAAACGGG
RNAcentral lists this ribosomal RNA (253 nucleotides) under uncultured bacterium. RNAcentral's name for it is "partial 16S ribosomal RNA". It matches the Rfam family "Bacterial small subunit ribosomal RNA", at positions 524 to 776 of the family's 1533-position model. The record is from RNAcentral.